Molecule: ribosomal RNA, 253 nt
Filed under: uncultured Lachnospiraceae bacterium
Lineage: Bacteria; Bacillati; Bacillota; Clostridia; Lachnospirales; Lachnospiraceae
Description: partial 16S ribosomal RNA
Rfam family: Bacterial small subunit ribosomal RNA
Source: RNAcentral
UACGUAGGGGGCGAGCGUUAUCCGGAUUUACUGGGUGUAAAGGGAGCGUAGACGGCGUCGCAAGUCUGAAGUGAAAGCCCGUGGCUCAACCGCGGAAUCGCUUUGGAAACUGCGAGGCUGGAGUGCUGGAGAGGUAAGCGGAAUUCCUGGUGUAGCGGUGAAAUGCGUAGAUAUAUGGAAGAACACCAGUGGCGAAGGCGGCCGCCUGGCCUGUUACUGACGCUGAGGCACGAAAGCGUGGGGAGCGAACAGG